This 447-nucleotide ribosomal RNA is filed under the name uncultured bacterium. Its description in RNAcentral is "bacterial SSU rRNA". It matches the Rfam family "Bacterial small subunit ribosomal RNA", at positions 329 to 793 of the family's 1533-position model. The record is from RNAcentral.
UGCCAGACUCCUACGGGAGGCAGCAGUGGGGAAUAUUGCACAAUGGGGGAAACCCUGAUGCAGCAACGCCGCGUGAGUGAAGAAGUAUUUCGGUAUGUAAAGCUCUAUCAGCAGGGAAGAAAAUGACGGUACCUGAGUAAGAAGCCCCGGCUAACUACGUGCCAGCAGCCGCGGUAAUACGUAGGGGGCAAGCGUUAUCCGGAUUUACUGGGUGUAAAGGGAGCGUAGACGGCGAUGCAAGUCUGAAGUGAAAGCCCGGGGCUCAACCCCGGGACUGCUUUGGAAACUGUAUGGCUGGAGUGCUGGAGAGGCAAGCGGAAUUCCUAGUGUAGCGGUGAAAUGCGUAGAUAUUAGGAAGAACACCAGUGGCGAAGGCGGCUUGCUGGACAGUAACUGACGUUGAGGCUCGAAAGCGUGGGGAGCAAACAGGAUUAGAUACCCGUGUAC